GAUGAACGCUAGCGGCAGGCCUAAUACAUGCAAGUCGGACGGGAUUUGGGAGCUUGCUCCUAAUGAGAGUGGCGCACGGGUGCGUAACACGUAUGUAACCUACCUUAAUCAGGGGGAUAGCCUCUCGAAAGAGAGAUUAACACCGCAUAACAUAUUUUUAUGGCAUCGUAGAAAUAUCAAAUAUUUAUAGGAUUAAGAUGGGCAUGCGGAACAUUAGCUAGUUGGUAAGGUAACGGCUUACCAAGGAUACGAUGUUUAGGGGAUCUGAGAGGUUGACCCCCCACACGGGUACUGAGACACGUACCAGACGCCGACGGGAGGCAGCAGCAAGAAAUAUUGGUCAAUGGGCGCAAGCCUGAACCAGCCAUGCCGCGUGCAGGAAGACGGCCCUAUGGGUUGUAAACUGCUUUUGUACCGGAAUAAACCCUUUUACGUGUAGAAGGCUGAAUGUACGGUAAGAAUAAGGAUCGGCUAACUCCGUGCCAGCCGCCGCCGUAA
This 498-nucleotide ribosomal RNA is filed under the name uncultured bacterium. RNAcentral's name for it is "partial 16S ribosomal RNA". It matches the Rfam family "Bacterial small subunit ribosomal RNA", at positions 28 to 523 of the family's 1533-position model. The record is from RNAcentral.